ACUGCUCAGUAACACGUAGCUAACCUACCCUUAAGUCAGGGAUACCCUCGGGAAACUGAGGUUAAUACCUGAUAAAAGACAUACCCUGGAAUGAUUUGUCUUUCAAAUUCGAGCUUAAGGAUGGGGCUGCGGCGGAUUAGGUUGUUGGCGGGGUAAUAGCCCACCAAGCCAAAGAUCCGUAAGGGCUCUUAGCGGAGAGGCCCUGAGAGGGAAUCUGAGACACUAUUCCCAGCCCUACGGGGUGCAGCAGUUAGGAAUAAUCUACAAUGCGCGCAAGCGUGAUAGUUUGAGCCAGAGUGCUUUACAAUUGUAAAGCUUUUGUGAAAUGUAAAAAGUUUCACGAAUAAGGACUGGGUAAGACGAGUGCCAGCCGCCGUGGUAAUACUCGCGGUCCAAGUCGCAGCCAUUUUUAUUGGGUCUAAAACAUCCGUAGCUUGCUUGAUAAGUUUCUUGUGAAAUUCCAUAUCUUAAGUAUGGAGCGGGCAAGAAGUACUGUUAAGCUAGAGACUGGAAGACGUAAAGAGUACGUUCGGAGUAGCGGUAAAAUGUGUUAAUCCUGGACGGACUAACGAGAGCGAAGGCACUUUACGAGGACAGUUCUGACAGUAAGGGAUGAAGGCUAGGGGCGCAAAACGGAUUAGAUACCCGUGUAGUCCUAGCAGUAAACACUGCACACUAAACAUUAGUACCUCCUCGAGAGGUAUUGGUGCUGAAGGGAAGCCGAAGAGUGUGCUACCUGGGAAGUAUAGUCGCAAGGCCGAAACUUAAAGGAAUUGGCGGGGGAGCAC
Molecule: ribosomal RNA, 788 nt
Filed under: uncultured archaeon
Lineage: Archaea
Description: bacterial SSU rRNA
Rfam family: Archaeal small subunit ribosomal RNA
Source: RNAcentral